Molecule: ribosomal RNA, 459 nt
Filed under: uncultured bacterium
Lineage: Bacteria
Description: partial 16S ribosomal RNA
Rfam family: Bacterial small subunit ribosomal RNA
Source: RNAcentral
CCUACGGGGCGCAGCAGUGAGGAAUAUUGGUCAAUGGGCGCGAGCCUGAACCAGCCAAGUCGCGUGAGGGAAGACGGUCCUAUGGAUUGUAAACCUCUUUUGUCGGGGAGCAAAAGACGCCACGCGUGGCGUUCCGAGAGUACCCGAAGAAAAAGCAUCGGCUAACUCUGUGCCAGCAGCCGCGGUAAUACGGAGGAUGCGAGCGUUAUCCGGAUUUAUUGGGGUUAACGGGUGGGCAGGCGGAAGAUCAAGUCAGCGGGAAAAUUGAGAGGCUCAACCUCUUCGAGCCGUUGAAACUGGUUGUCUUGAGUGAGUGAGAAGUAUGCGGAAUGCGUAGUGUAGCGGUGAAAUGCAUAGAUAUCACGCAGAACUCCGAUUGCGAAGGCAGCAUACCGGCGCUCAACUGACGCUCAUGCACGAAAGUGUGGGUAUCGAACAGGAGUAGAUACCCCUGUAGUC